AGAGCGAACGCUGGCGGCAGGCUUAACACAUGCAAGUCGAGCGCCCCGCAAGGGGAGCGGCAGACGGGAGAGUAACACGUGGGAACGUACCUUUCGGUUCGGAACAACCCAGGGAAACUUGGGCUAAUACCGGAUACGUCCGUAAGGAGAAAGAUUUAUCGCCGAAAGAUCGGCCCGCGUCUGAUUAGCUAGUUGGUGAGGUAACGGCUCACCAAGGCGACGAUCAGUAGCUGGUCUGAGAGGAUGAUCAGCCUCACUGGGACUGAGACACGGCCCAGACUCCUACGGGAGGCAGCAGUGGGGAAUAUUGGACAAUGGGCGCAAGCCUGAUCCAGCCAUGCCGCGUGGGUGAUGAAGGCCCUAGGGUUGUAAAGCCCUUUCGGCGGGAAGAUAAUGACGUACCGCAGAAGAAGCCCGGCUAACUUCGCGCCAGCAGCCGC
RNAcentral lists this ribosomal RNA (440 nucleotides) under uncultured bacterium. Its description in RNAcentral is "SSU rRNA". It matches the Rfam family "Bacterial small subunit ribosomal RNA", at positions 26 to 518 of the family's 1533-position model. The record is from RNAcentral.